ACGUUAGCGGCGGACGGGUGAGUAACACGUGGGUAACCUACCUAUAAGACUGGGAUAACUUCGGGAAACCGGAGCUAAUACCGGAUAAUAUUUCGAACCGCAUGGUUCGAUAGUGAAAGAUGGUUUUGCUAUCACUUAUAGAUGGACCCGCGCCGUAUUAGCUAGUUGGUAAGGUAACGGCUUACCAAGGCGACGAUACGUAGCCGACCUGAGAGGGUGAUCGGCCACACUGGAACUGAGACACGGUCCAGACUCCUACGGGAGGCAGCAGGG
This 273-nucleotide ribosomal RNA is filed under the name uncultured Staphylococcus sp. RNAcentral's name for it is "partial 16S ribosomal RNA". It matches the Rfam family "Bacterial small subunit ribosomal RNA", at positions 89 to 354 of the family's 1533-position model. The record is from RNAcentral. Lineage: Bacteria; Bacillati; Bacillota; Bacilli; Caryophanales; Staphylococcaceae.